UGAGUCUUCAUCGAACUUAGCAUGUGUGUUUUCGGAAUGUGGGAGGCUCGAGUACACUGGCUUCCUAAAUUGUUACUGCCAUCAUUAUUAUGACAUUUAUAUGAUGGUGACCAACCAGUCCAAAAAUAAUGCGUUCCCUCAAACAAGAGCAGCCGCUUUAUCAGAACUGGAAGAGAUUUGCCAAUAAAAAGAACAUCAAAGUUUUCUGUCGACUUUCCCACAUAGAACGAAAAAAAAAAUGUGUGUGCUAAAUGUCCGCUUGCUUGAUUUAAAAACGACUUUAACUCAAUACAGAAAAACCCGUCUUCUCAUACGAGACGACUGCUGGAGCAGACUGUAACACUGAGAAUGUGUCAGCUCUGUGAGUCCCGCUCCAAAAAGCAGCUGGAUGCCCGUCCGCCACGCCCUGUUCGCCUCCUCUCAUUGGUCAGGACACUUUUUGCAGUCAAAUGGAAGGCCAGAGCGCACAUUUGAACGCCCAACCUCAGAACUACAUAUUGCAUUUGGCCCUACCACUUCACCCCCUAAAAGCCAGGCAUCAUGUGGCUGGCGCUAUCGUGUAUUGCACGACUCCGGCUUGUCAAGGUGGAAACCACCCAGUGUGCUGACACUUGCCCUCCGCGCCACCACAGUGACAGUAAUUUUAACGCAGCCGGGGCGGAGCGGUCCCGGAGGUGCGCCAUUAAAGUUCAGGUGAGGUUAAUUGCCGAGCAUUGUGAGGCCUGCUGCUGCGCACCGGGGUGGCGGGUGGUUUGUUGACGCCUCCCAUUGACGAUUCAGACAUGACGCUACACCCGGCGGCUAGCACGGCGGGGGUUCAACCGUGGAUUUACACGGCAAAAUGCCUCCUGAUGUCAAUCAUUCCCAAACAUGCCUCCAAAUGAAAGUCCAAGGGAAAAUACUGCCCAUUCACUGCACAGCAGCAUGUGAUUCACCACAGCGGUCAAUCACAGUUCCACCACAGUCUGUUGUGUGACACGAGCCAAACCGCCACUUUCAAGCAACAUUUUUAUCCAUCCAUCCGAUGUGGAUGCUUAGCUGGAUCCUAUCCCAGCUGACUUUGGCCGAGGAUCCUCCCAGAACCGCUCUCCAACCAAUCGCAGGUCACUUAUAAACAAACAACAGUUGAAACUCAUGUUCACACGUCAGGACAAUUUAUUCAAUGAAUCGAAUAUCAUUUUUUUUGUGGAAGCCGUAGUACCCAGAGAAAGGCCACACAGUAAGGUUGGGGCCGGGAUUCAAACCCUCGACUUCAGAACUGCGAGGCGGAUGUGCUAUUCACUUUCCGCAAUUCUGUUACAAAAAAAAAAAAAUCCUUUAAUUUAAUUCCCAAUUGGAAUUCAGGUACAGUUGUGCCUCUACUUAG
Hippocampus comes (tiger tail seahorse) is the source of this 1366-nucleotide long non-coding RNA. RefSeq lists it as uncharacterized. The transcript has 3 exons. The record is from RefSeq and is a predicted model, not a curated record. NCBI's taxonomy places the organism in Eukaryota, Metazoa, Chordata, Actinopteri, Syngnathiformes, Syngnathidae.